UGAGUUAGCUAAGACAGUCGCCGCUUGAGUGCUUUAAUAUUCAGGGGGAGGAAAGUCCGGGCUCCAUAGGGCAAGGUGCCAGGUAACACCUGGGGGGAGUGAUCCCACGGCCAGUGCAACAGAGAGUAAACCGCCACAUCAUACUUGUAUGUUGGGGUAAGGGUGAAAGGGUGCGGUAAGAGCGCACCGCGUUAAUGGUAACAUUAACGGCAUGGUAAACCCCACCUGGAGCAAGACCAAAUAGGG
RNAcentral lists this RNase P RNA (246 nucleotides) under Pseudomonadota bacterium. RNAcentral describes it as "Proteobacteria bacterium (cold seep metagenome) partial RNase P RNA component class A". It matches the Rfam family "Bacterial RNase P class A", at positions 1 to 237 of the family's 367-position model. Rfam says of the family: Ribonuclease P (RNase P) is a ubiquitous endoribonuclease, found in archaea, bacteria and eukarya as well as chloroplasts and mitochondria. Its best characterised activity is the generation of mature 5'-ends of tRNAs by cleaving the 5'-leader elements of precursor-tRNAs. The record is from RNAcentral. Lineage: Bacteria; Pseudomonadati; Pseudomonadota.